UUUAUUGAUAAUCGAAAGUUACAUGGAUAACCGUGACAAAUUACAGCUAAUACAUGCAAUCAGACCUGGUCCAAGGGUCGUAAUUAUUAGUACUAAACCAUUUCCGUCAGGAAUGUGAUGAUUCAUAGUAAUCGAACGAAUCGCAGGUAUAUGCGAUAAGUCAUUCAAGUUUCUGCCCUAUCAGCUUUGGAUGGUAGUGUAUUGGACUACCAUGGCAGUCACGGGUAACGGAGAAUUAGGGUUCGAUUCCGGAGAGGGAGCCUGAGAAACGGCUACCACAUCUACGGAAGGCAGCAGGCGCGCAAAUUGCCCAAUCCUGACACGGGGAGGCAGUGACAAGAAAUAACAACUCUAGGAUUUCUUAGAAGUGUAAUGAGGAUAAUUUACAAACCUUACCGAAUGCAAUUGGAGGGCAAGUCUGGUGCCAGCAGCCGCGGUAAUUCCAGCUCCAAUAGCGUAUAUUAAAGUUGUUGCAGUUAAAAAGCUCGUAGUUGAAGUUCUG
Molecule: ribosomal RNA, 502 nt
Filed under: uncultured eukaryote
Lineage: Eukaryota
Description: SSU rRNA
Rfam family: Eukaryotic small subunit ribosomal RNA
Source: RNAcentral